RNAcentral lists this ribosomal RNA (186 nucleotides) under uncultured bacterium. RNAcentral's name for it is "partial 16S ribosomal RNA". It matches the Rfam family "Bacterial small subunit ribosomal RNA", at positions 338 to 524 of the family's 1533-position model. The record is from RNAcentral.
CCUACGGGAGGCAGCAGUAAGGAAUAUUGCGCAAUGGGCGAAAGCCUGACGCAGCGACGCCGCGUGGGGGAUGAAGGUCUUCGGAUUGUGAACCCCUUUCGGGAGGGAAGAUGGGAUGGGGUAACCCAUUCGGACGGUACCUCCAGAAGCAGCCACGGCUAACUUCGUGCCAGCAGCCGCGGUAAU